AGCGAACGCUGGCGGCAGGCUUAACACAUGCAAGUCGAACGCCCCGCAAGGGGAGUGGCAGACGGGUGAGUAACACGUGGGAACGUACCCUUUGGUUCGGAAUAACUUGGGGAAACUCAAGCUAAUACCGGAUAAGCCCUUAUGGGGAAAGGUUUACUGCCGAAGGAUCGGCCCGCGUCUGAUUAGCUAGUUGGUGAGGUAAUGGCUCACCAAGGCGACGAUCAGUAGCUGGUCUGAGAGGAUGAUCAGCCACACUGGGACUGAGACACGGCCCAGACUCCUACGGGAGCCAGCAGUGGGGAAUAUUGGACAAUGGGGGCAACCCUGAUCUAGCCAUGCCGCGUGAGUGAUGAAGGCCUUAGGGUUGUAAAGCUCUUUUACCCGGGACGAUAAUGACUGUUCCGGGAGAAUAAGCCCCGGCUAACUUCGUGCCAGCAGCCGCAGUAA
This 447-nucleotide ribosomal RNA is filed under the name uncultured bacterium. RNAcentral's name for it is "partial 16S ribosomal RNA". It matches the Rfam family "Bacterial small subunit ribosomal RNA", at positions 29 to 523 of the family's 1533-position model. The record is from RNAcentral.